This 535-nucleotide ribosomal RNA is filed under the name uncultured bacterium. RNAcentral describes it as "bacterial SSU rRNA". It matches the Rfam family "Bacterial small subunit ribosomal RNA", at positions 777 to 1314 of the family's 1533-position model. The record is from RNAcentral.
AAUAGAUACCCAGGUAGUCCACGCUGUAAACGAUGGAUACUAGGUGUAGGAGGUAUCGACCCCUUCUGUGCCGGAGUUAACACAAUAAGUAUCCCACCUGGGGAGUACGGCCGCAAGGUUGAAACUCAAAGGAGUUGACGGGGGCCCGCACAAGCAGUGGAGUAUGUGGUUUAAUUCGAAGCAACGCGAAGAACCUUACCAAGGCUUGACAUAUAGCGGAAUACGGCAGAGAUGUCGUAGUCCUUCGGGACUGCUAUACAGGUGGUGCAUGGUUGUCGUCAGCUCGUGUCGUGAGAUGUUGGGUUAAGUCCCGCAACGAGCGCAACCCCUGUUGUUAGUUGAUAACAUUAAGAUGAUCACUCUAGCGAGACUGCCGGUGAUAAAUCGGAGGAAGGUGGGGACGACGUCAAAUCAUCAUGCCCCUUAUGUCUUGGGCUACACACGUACUACAAUGGCUAUUACAGAGGGAAGCUAAGCUGUAAAGUGGAGCAAAUCCCCAAAAAUAGUCCCAGUUCAGAUUGUGGGCUGCAACCCG